This 1406-nucleotide ribosomal RNA is filed under the name uncultured bacterium. Its description in RNAcentral is "16S ribosomal RNA". It matches the Rfam family "Bacterial small subunit ribosomal RNA". The record is from RNAcentral.
AGAGUUUGAUCCUGGCUCAGGAUGAACGCUAGCGACAGGCUUAACACAUGCAAGUCGAGGGGCAGCGGUGGUGAAGGCUUGCCUUCACCAGCCGGCGACCGGCGCACGGGUGAGUAACACGUAUGCAACCUGCCUGCCACAGCCGGAUAAUCGGGAGAAAUUCCGUCUAAUACGGCAUAAUGCAUCGACGGGACAUCCUGUUGGUGCCAAAGGUUGAUUCCGGUGGCGGAUGGGCAUGCGGCGCAUUAGGCAGUAGGCGGGGUAACGGCCCACCUAACCGACGAUGCGUAGGGGUUCUGAGAGGAAGGUCCCCCACACUGGUACUGAGACACGGACCAGACUCCUACGGGAGGCAGCAGUGAGGAAUAUUGGUCAAUGGUCGGGAGACUGAACCAGCCAAGCCGCGUGAGGGAGGAAGGUACAGAGUAUCGUAAACCUCUUUUGUCAGGGAACAAAGACGGGGACGCGUCCCCGGAUGAGUGUACCUGAAGAAAAAGCAUCGGCUAACUCCGUGCCAGCAGCCGCGGUAAUACGGAGGAUGCGAGCGUUAUCCGGAUUUAUUGGGUUUAAAGGGUGCGCAGGCGGUCUGUUAAGUCAGCGGUCAAAGCCCGGGGCUCAACCCCGGCCCGCCGUUGAAACUGGCAGUCUCGAGUUGGAGAGAAGUAUGCGGAAUGCGCGGUGUAGCGGUGAAAUGCAUAGAUAUCGCGCAGAACUCCGAUUGCGAAGGCAGCAUGCCGGCUCCACACUGACGCUGAGGCACGAAAGCGUGGGUAUCGAACAGGAUUAGAUACCCUGGUAGUCCACGCAGUAAACGAUGAAUGCUGGCUGUCCGGGGGGGAUUGACCCCUGGGUGGCGAAGCGAAAGCGAUAAGCAUUCCACCUGGGGAGUACGCCGGCAACGGUGAAACUCAAAGGAAUUGACGGGGGCCCGCACAAGCGGAGGAACAUGUGGUUUAAUUCGAUGAUACGCGAGGAACCUUACCCGGGCUCAAACGGGGAGUGACUCAGGCAGAGACGCCUGUUUCCCACGGGACACUCCCCGAGGUGCUGCAUGGUUGUCGUCAGCUCGUGCCGUGAGGUGUCGGCUUAAGUGCCAUAACGAGCGCAACCCCCGCGUGCAGUUGCUAACAGAUAACGCUGAGGACUCUGCACGGACUGCCGGCGCAAGCCGCGAGGAAGGCGGGGAUGACGUCAAAUCAGCACGGCCCUUACGUCCGGGGCGACACACGUGUUACAAUGGGUGGUACAGCGGGAAGCCAGGCGGCGACGCCGAGCGGAACCCGAAAUCCACUCUCAGUUCGGAUCGGAGUCUGCAACCCGACUCCGUGAAGCUGGAUUCGCUAGUAAUCGCGCAUCAGCCACGGCGCGGUGAAUACGUUCCCGGGCCUUGCACACACCGCCCGUCA